Molecule: long non-coding RNA, 492 nt
Filed under: Lepisosteus oculatus (spotted gar)
Lineage: Eukaryota; Metazoa; Chordata; Actinopteri; Semionotiformes; Lepisosteidae
Description: lncRNA (ENSLOCG00000021638.1)
Source: RNAcentral
AAGGGAUAAUUGUCUCCACUGCUAUACCAGCUAAUAAGAUCUUACAUCUUGUCCCUGUGACUUUAUCUUUUGUGAUCUUAGAUCCUUCAUGAGGACUCGUUCAUCACUGACAGCUUUGUUUGGUCCAGUGCACACAUGUUCAGCCUGGAGAAAAUGAUCAGAUUGCCCUUACUGUGUCCUCAGUUUACUUAAAAUGCAACUGUACACACCUACAGAAGCUCUCAUGUUGUAAUCAAGUGCAGAGCUAUCACACUGUGGAUACAAGGUGAGUGGGCUAUGGAGCACUAAGAAUGGUUUAUGGAUUUUAGAAUGGUAAUGUAAAAGUGGGUUCUUGUUUGUAAUGUUAUUUUUGAACUGUUGUGCUGUUUAAGUCUUUAGUACUGUAAGUGUACAAAAAAUGUGACUGAUUUAUUUCCUGUUUAUCUGUAUUGUCAGUGAAACUGGAGAAGCACCACUGUUUAUACUUGUAAUAUGUUUACUGUUAGUCCUGGA